This 207-nucleotide ribosomal RNA is filed under the name uncultured Pseudomonadota bacterium. Its description in RNAcentral is "uncultured proteobacterium partial 16S ribosomal RNA". It matches the Rfam family "Bacterial small subunit ribosomal RNA", at positions 568 to 774 of the family's 1533-position model. Lineage: Bacteria; Pseudomonadati; Pseudomonadota. The record is from RNAcentral.
CGCGUAGGCGGCAGUGUAUGUCAGAUGUGAAAUACUCCGGCUCAACCAGAGAACAGCAUCUGAAACUGCACAGCUAGAGUACAGAAGAGGGAAACGGAAUUCCCGGUGUAGAGGUGAAAUUCGUAGAUAUCGGGAGGAACACCAGUGGCGAAGGCGGUUUCCUGGUCUGAUACUGACGCUGAGGCGCGAAAGCGUGGGGAGCAAACA